This 292-nucleotide ribosomal RNA is filed under the name uncultured bacterium. RNAcentral describes it as "partial 16S ribosomal RNA". It matches the Rfam family "Bacterial small subunit ribosomal RNA", at positions 505 to 796 of the family's 1533-position model. The record is from RNAcentral.
GUGCCAGCCGCCGCGGUAAUACGGAGGGUGCAAGCGUUGUCCGGAAUCAUUGGGUGUAAAGGGUGUGUAGGCGGGAGCCUAAGUCUGUGGUGAAAUCUUGCCGCUUAACGGUAAAAUUGCCAUGGAUACUGGGUUUCUUGAGUACAGAAGAGGUCGGUGGAAUUCGUAGUGUAGCGGUGAAAUGCAUAGAUAUUACGAAGAACACCAGUGGCGAAGGCGGCCGGCUGGACUGUAACUGACGCUGAGGCACGAAAGCGUGGGGAGCGAACAGGAUUAGAAACCCGAGUAGUCC